RNAcentral lists this ribosomal RNA (800 nucleotides) under Bifidobacterium pseudocatenulatum. RNAcentral's name for it is "bacterial SSU rRNA". It matches the Rfam family "Bacterial small subunit ribosomal RNA", at positions 192 to 1002 of the family's 1533-position model. Lineage: Bacteria; Bacillati; Actinomycetota; Actinomycetes; Bifidobacteriales; Bifidobacteriaceae. The record is from RNAcentral.
GGGGUGUCGGGAAAGAUUUCAUCGGUAUGGGAUGGGGUCGCGUCCUAUCAGGUAGUCGGCGGGGUAACGGCCCACCGAGCCUACGACGGGUAGCCGGCCUGAGAGGGCGACCGGCCACAUUGGGACUGAGAUACGGCCCAGACUCCUACGGGAGGCAGCAGUGGGGAAUAUUGCACAAUGGGCGCAAGCCUGAUGCAGCGACGCCGCGUGCGGGAUGACGGCCUUCGGGUUGUAAACCGCUUUUGAUCGGGAGCAAGCCUUCGGGUGAGUGUACCUUUCGAAUAAGCACCGGCUAACUACGUGCCAGCAGCCGCGGUAAUACGUAGGGUGCAAGCGUUAUCCGGAAUUAUUGGGCGUAAAGGGCUCGUAGGCGGUUCGUCGCGUCCGGUGUGAAAGUCCAUCGCUUAACGGUGGAUCUGCGCCGGGUACGGGCGGGCUGGAGUGCGGUAGGGGAGACUGGAAUUCCCGGUGUAACGGUGGAAUGUGUAGAUAUCGGGAAGAACACCAAUGGCGAAGGCAGGUCUCUGGGCCGUUACUGACGCUGAGGAGCGAAAGCGUGGGGAGCGAACAGGAUUAGAUACCCUGGUAGUCCACGCCGUAAACGGUGGAUGCUGGAUGUGGGGCCCGUUCCACGGGUUCCGUGUCGGAGCUAACGCGUUAAGCAUCCCGCCUGGGGAGUACGGCCGCAAGGCUAAAACUCAAAGAAAUUGACGGGGGCCCGCACAAGCGGCGGAGCAUGCGGAUUAAUUCGAUGCAACGCGAAGAACCUUACCUGGGCUUGACAUGUUCCCGACAGCCGU